This 353-nucleotide unclassified non-coding RNA is filed under the name soil metagenome. RNAcentral describes it as "partial contains 5.8S ribosomal RNA, internal transcribed spacer 2, and large subunit ribosomal RNA". The stretch from base 1 to 120 matches the Rfam family "5.8S ribosomal RNA", at positions 35 to 154 of the family's 154-position model. The record is from RNAcentral.
GACGAAGAACGCAGCGAAAUGCGAUAAGUAAUGUGAAUUGCAGAAUUCAGUGAAUCAUCGAAUCUUUGAACGCACAUUGCGCCCGCCAGUAUUCUGGCGGGCAUGCCUGUUCGAGCGUCAUUACAACCCUCAGGCCCCCGGGCCUGGCGUUGGGGAUCGGCGGAAGCCCCCUGCGGGCACAACGCCGUCCCCCAAAUACAGUGGCGGUCCCGCCGCAGCUUCCAUUGCGUAGUAGCUAACACCUCGCAACUGGAGAGCGGCGCGGCCACGCCGUAAAACACCCAACUUCUGAAUGUUGACCUCGAAUCAGGUAGGAAUACCCGCUGAACUUAAGCAUAUCAAUAAGCGGAGGA